AGAGAGAGUUGGACAGCGGCACAGCGCCUUUUGGCGUGGUGAGGAAAGUCCGGGCUUCACAGGGCAGGAUACCUGCUAACGGCAGGCCGAGGCGACUCGAGGGAAAGUGCAACAGAAAGAUACCGCCGCCGUAUCACCGGAUACUAUCCGGUAGACGGCGGUAAGGAUGGAAAGGCGGGGUAAGAGCCCACCGGAAUGCAGGUGACUGCAUUGCCAUGUAAACCCUAUCCGAAGCAACACCAGCUGGAACGAUACGGCUGCCCGCCGUGUUCCGAAAGGUGGCUAGAGCCAUGCGGCAACGCAUGGGCCAGAAAGAUCGUUGUUCACGACAGAACCCGGCUUAUAGAUUCCCUCUCUGU
This 359-nucleotide RNase P RNA is filed under the name Oscillospiraceae bacterium. Its description in RNAcentral is "RNase P RNA component class A". It matches the Rfam family "Bacterial RNase P class A". Rfam says of the family: Ribonuclease P (RNase P) is a ubiquitous endoribonuclease, found in archaea, bacteria and eukarya as well as chloroplasts and mitochondria. Its best characterised activity is the generation of mature 5'-ends of tRNAs by cleaving the 5'-leader elements of precursor-tRNAs. The record is from RNAcentral. Lineage: Bacteria; Bacillati; Bacillota; Clostridia; Eubacteriales; Oscillospiraceae.